GUAGGGAAUAUUGGGCAAUGGAUGCAAGUCUGACCCAGCCAUCCCGCGUGCCGGAAGAAGGCCCUCGGGGUUGUAACCGGCUUUUGACGGUGAAGAAUCGACAGGAUGCGCCCUGUUUUGACGGUAGCCGUUGAAUAAGCACCGGCUAACUCCGUGCCAGCCGCCGCGGUAAUACGGAGGGUGCGAGCGUGGUCCGGAUUUAUUGGGUUUAAAGGGUGCGUAGGCUGGAAGGUCAGUCAGCGGUGAAAAGCUGUCGCUUAACGAUAGUCUUGCCGCAGAUACUUCCUUUCUUGGAUGAGGAGGAGGCCACUGGAACGGAUGGUGUAGCGGUGAAAUGCAUAGAUAUCAUCCAGAACACCGAUUGCGAAGGCAGGUGGCUGUACCUUAAUCGACGCUGAUGCACGAAAGCAUGGGGAGCAAACAGGAUUAGAAACCCCUGUAGUCC
RNAcentral lists this ribosomal RNA (445 nucleotides) under uncultured bacterium. RNAcentral describes it as "partial 16S ribosomal RNA". It matches the Rfam family "Bacterial small subunit ribosomal RNA", at positions 354 to 796 of the family's 1533-position model. The record is from RNAcentral.